RNAcentral lists this unclassified non-coding RNA (3097 nucleotides) under Hevea brasiliensis (rubber tree). Lineage: Eukaryota; Viridiplantae; Streptophyta; Magnoliopsida; Malpighiales; Euphorbiaceae. The record is from RNAcentral.
CCUCUUCAUUUUUCUCCACCGCCUGCAAAGCUCUAAGCGAUGUUCUCCUCUCCAUUCUGGCCAAAAUCUAUUACAUCCACAAAAUUUAGAGCUUUGUCGAUCUCGGAAGGCCAAAGGAUAGAAAAACAAAAGGAAAUACGUUGCAAGCAAAUGAAUGAGAGGCGAUGAGUCAAAUGCCAAGGAGCUUUUUAUUGGUUUCCAAUUUUCCCUCGUCCUUCUUCUGUAAAACUUCUUCUUCACCGUCGUGUCUUCCUUUUAUGGCCAAGUUGCAGUGCCGAGCACUUCAGAAUCAUUCAGCCUUUCAUUUUCUUUCUUCACCAUUUGGUACGUGUCACGAAUACGGACAAUGCUCUCAGCUUCGAUUGAGAAAUCCCAGAGUGUCAUCCGUGAUCUCUAUCAACUACUCAAAGGUUCCACUGUGCCUCGUCGAUGGGUCUGUGAGUGUAUCAGCUGUUCACUCAUGUUUAAGAGCUGGAUGUCUUAGUUCGUCUUUGAACAAGGUUAUCGCUCUGAGUUCACGUAAUUAUGGAGCUUUUGCCAGGCGACAUUUUUCUCAAGUCUCUAGGGUAAAAAAUCAGAAUCAAGAUGGUCAGUUUGGCAAAUUUUUUAAGCAGGCAAAGCUUUUGACUUCUCAUGUCAAAAAGAAAGCUAUUAAUUCUGGAAUUUCAGCUUCCAAUGAUGUCAAUGCCAUGGCAUCGGCUGAAGAGAUGGUUGGAGAUGUGAAGCUGGGAUCCUCUUUUUCCACUUCUACUUUAAGCAAUAAUAACCCCAAAUCCAAAGUUAGGGGAAGACAGAAGAAGCAAUCAAGAGCUAAUACAGAAAAGGAACAACCUUCUGGCAUCAUGGCCUCAGAUGAAGCUGCUGUCAUGGAUUCUUCUCAACUAAAGAGUUCCAGCACCAUAAAAAGUAGCCAGAGUCCCAACGAGGGUUUAGAGAAGAAAUCAAAUAUGAAGACACCCAAGGAUUUGCUUGAUGGUUCUGCAUCAUCAAAAAAACCAGUCCAACAAGAAAAACAGAAACUCUAGUGGAAAGGGUAAGUCUGUGAAAGCAGUUAAUGAAUCAGGAGUGAAACUGAAACCUCAAGCAAUGGACAAACUGAAACCUUUGAUUCAAGAGGCGCUAAAGCCACUAUAUCCUCCUACUGGGAAAUCUGUUGUGGUGGUUGAGUCCAUUACAAAGGCGAAGGUCAUUCAACGGUACCUUGGUGAUAUGUUUGAAGUUUUACCUAGUUAUGGUCAUGUAAGGGACUUGGCUGCAAGGUCUGGUUCUGUGCGACCUGAUGAAGACUUUAGUAUGGUAUGGGAGGUUCCUGCUGCUGCUUGGACUCAUCUUAAGAGCAUCAAGGUUGCUCUAAGCGAAGCAAAAAAUCUUAUACUUGCAUCAGAUCCUGAUCGUGAAGGAGAGGCAAUUGCUUGGCAUAUUAUUGAGAUGUUGCAACAACAGGAUGCUUUACGUCAAGGGAUUACUCUGGCCAGAGUUGUCUUUCAUGAAAUAACUGAGGAAUCCAUAAAACAUGCCUUGCAAGCUCCUAGAGAAAUUGAUUUGAACUUGGUUCAUGCUUACCUUGCACGGCGUGCUCUUGAUUAUUUAAUUGGCUUCAACAUUUCACCAUUGUUAUGGAGGAAAUUACCAGGUUGCCAGUCAGCUGGACGUGUCCAAUCUGCUGCAUUGUCUCUUAUAUGUGACAGGGAAAUGGAAAUUGAUGAAUUUAAGCCACAAGAGUACUGGACUAUUGAAGUUGAAUUAUACAAAAACAAUCCCGGUUCUUUGGUGAAUACUCACCUGACCCAUUUUGACUCCAAUAAGUUGAAUCAGCUUUCAAUUAGCUCACAUACAGGGGCAAAGGAUAUUGAACUGAAGAUAAAGGAUGCACUUUUUCAAGUUGCUGGUGUUAAAGAAAGCAAAAUGAGGAGAAAUCCUCCCACACCUUAUAUAACGUCAACACUUCAGCAAGAUGCAGCAAACAAAUUACAUUUUCCUUCAAUGUAUACAAUGAAGCUUGCGCAAAAACUUUAUGAAGGGAUUCAGUUAUCAGAUGGGAAGGCAACGGGUUUGAUAACAUACAUCAGAACAGAUGGACUGCAUAUUUCGGAUGAAGCAGUCAAGGGAAUACGUUCCUUAGUGAUUGAAAGGUACGGCCAAGAUUUUGCAUCUGGGGGCCCACUCAGAUAUUUUAAGAAGGUGAAGAAUGCUCAAGAGGCCCAUGAAGCAAUUAGACCAACCAAUAUUUGGAUGUUACCAUCAAUGCUUGUUGAUGUACUUGAUGAAGAUUCCUUGAAGUUGUACACUCUUAUUUGGUCUCGAACAGUGGCAUGCCAAAUGGAACCUGUUACUAUCAACCAGAUCCAAAUUGACUUUGGGAAUGCUGAUAUGUCAAUCGCUCUGAGAUCUUCAUGCUCAGAAAUUGGGUUUCUUGGAUACCAGGCAGUUUAUGAGGAUAUUGAGGCUAGAGCAGUAAGAUACAAGGAAAAUGAGGUGCCUGAUCGUCAGGAAGCCUUUGCAAGUCUCAAGUCACUUAAGCCAGGGGAUCAUUUGAAUCUUGGUGAAGUAAAAAUCAAGCAGCACUUUACCCAGCCUCCACCUCGCUACUCUGAAGGAUCAUUGGUAAAGAAGCUGGAGGAACUUGGCAUUGGAAGACCUUCAACAUAUGCAAGCACUUUGAAAGUGUUGCAGGAUAGGAAAUAUGUGACAGUGAAAAGCCGUGUGCUGUAUCCAGAAUUUCGUGGUCGUAUGGUGUCAGCAUUUCUCUCUCACCACUUUACUGAGGUCACAGACUACAGCUUUACUGCUGAUAUGGAAACUGAGCUUGAUAAUGUUUCUGCUGGCUUAACCGAAUGGAAAGGCCUUCUCAGAGACUAUUGGACACGAUUUAGCUCAUACUGCAAUCGUGCUGAAAGCAUCCAUAUUCAUCAGGUGGAGAAGAUGCUAGAGAAAACAUUUGGUGAUUUUUUGUUUGGUUUGCUACCUAAUAACAGCAAGGCAUGCCCUAGUUGUCUGGAGGGCACUUUGAUCUUCAAAGUAAGUAGGUAUGGUGCUGGCUAUUUCGUAGGUUGUGAUCAACACCCAAAGUGCAAGUAUAUUGCUAAGACUUUAUAUG